GCGUGAGUGAUGAAGGCCUUAGGGUUGUAAAGCUCUUUCGGGUGGGACGAUGAUGACGGUACCACCAGAAGAAGCCCCGGCUAACUUCGUGCCAGCAGCCGCGGUAAUACGAAGGGGGCUAGCGUUGUUCGGAAUUACUGGGCGUAAAGCGCACGCAGGCGGCUCGAUAAAUUAGAAGUGAAAGCCCCGGGCUUAACCUGGGAAUUGCUUUUAAGACUGUCGGGCUAGAAUCCAGAAGAGGGUAGUGGAAUUCCGAGUGUAGAGGUGAAAUUCGU
Molecule: ribosomal RNA, 275 nt
Filed under: uncultured bacterium
Lineage: Bacteria
Description: partial 16S ribosomal RNA
Rfam family: Bacterial small subunit ribosomal RNA
Source: RNAcentral